Molecule: unclassified non-coding RNA, 538 nt
Filed under: Epicoccum pneumoniae
Lineage: Eukaryota; Fungi; Ascomycota; Dothideomycetes; Pleosporales; Didymellaceae
Description: sequence contains ITS1, 5.8S rRNA gene, ITS2
Rfam family: 5.8S ribosomal RNA (bases 184-337)
Source: RNAcentral
CGUAACAAGGUUUCCGUAGGUGAACCUGCGGAAGGAUCAUUACCUAGAGUUGUAGGCUUUGCCUGCUAUCUCUUACCCAUGUCUUUUGAGUACCUUACGUUUCCUCGGUGGGUUCGCCCACCGAUUGGACAAACUUAAACCCUUUGCAGUUGAAAUCAGCGUCUGAAAAAACUUAAUAGUUACAACUUUCAACAACGGAUCUCUUGGUUCUGGCAUCGAUGAAGAACGCAGCGAAAUGCGAUAAGUAGUGUGAAUUGCAGAAUUCAGUGAAUCAUCGAAUCUUUGAACGCACAUUGCGCCCCUUGGUAUUCCAUGGGGCAUGCCUGUUCGAGCGUCAUUUGUACCUUCAAGCUCUGCUUGGUGUUGGGUGUUUGUCUCCUGUAGACUCGCCUUAAAACAAUUGGCAGCCGGCGUAUUGAUUUCGGAGCGCAGUACAUCUCGCGCUUUGCACUCAUAACGACGACAUCCAAAAGUACAUUUUUACACUCUUGACCUCGGAUCAGGUAGGGAUACCCGCUGAACUUAAGCAUAUCAAUAA